CUCGAGGAUGAAUCAGAAGCUAGAGCCAUGGUUAAUUAAUUAUUUGAAACAGCCAAGUUAACACCCAUGUACAUGUAGUAUACUGCUAGUACUGGAUAAGCAUGGGUCGCCGGAGGCCAUUGCUUUUCCGGCCGGCGGAUCUCCCUGGCGAGGCCGAAUCAUUCGGGUUUUUUUUACUUUGAGAAGAGGCCGAAUCAUUCGUGGGCCGCGUUGUUGGGGCACGACCGCACGAGUCGUUUCGACCAUGAUUUAGGUGGGCUGUCCCACCGGCCUGGUCCAUUGAACGAGAGAACUCUAUGACGAGUAUGGCGGAGAAGUCCACAAGACCACAAGCAGCACGUUUGCGCGAGCACCACACAGCAGAGUUCAUAGCUUGAUGCUGCUCCUAGCAUUGAUCCGAAUUGACGGGUAGGGUAGAUCCGCUCAUCACGGUCUUAGGCUCCGUUUUUUUUAAUCCAUUUUUCAUUAUUUUGUGUUUAGCUAACCAAUUUUUUUCUAUUUUUAUGUGUUUUGUCACAGCAGAUUGUAAAAUAAGUUCAGCGCAACUGAUAACCAUUAUCAUCAUCGAUCGAGUACAGAAGCUUAUGAGACGUUAUUCAAUAGCCCCCCCCCCCACCCCCCACACAUGCACACCCACACACACCCCAAAGUCAUCGGGUUCCAGGGUGGGACGGCUUAAGUCAGGCCCUGGUUGGUAUAGUCCGCCGGAAGCCCAUAUGCAAGUCUUGCAUAACCACGUAGUCACAUACGUAUUUGUGUAUGGCAUUCAGGUAACCUGCCCGCGUUUGAAGAAAGAAAAAAAAACAGAACAUAAAUGGCUCGAUCUAUGCCACGAAUCACGCUCGUGAUACACAUUCCUGGCUGGAAGUUUCCAAAAAAUCUUGCGGUGGCCUCCAUCUGCGCUCCUGUCCGGCGCUCGUUGUCGUCCGUGACGUACCCGACUCCACCUCGCCAUCCUUCAAUUCCACCUUCCCGACGACGGCUUUCUUCUCCUCUGCCAUGACGUAGUUUGCUCCGCGUGUUCACUUCAUUGCCGGAGGUGGUUAUGCGGCC
Molecule: long non-coding RNA, 1053 nt
Filed under: Brachypodium distachyon (stiff brome)
Lineage: Eukaryota; Viridiplantae; Streptophyta; Magnoliopsida; Poales; Poaceae
Description: long non-coding RNA (BDIS_LNC005275)
Source: RNAcentral